Molecule: ribosomal RNA, 319 nt
Filed under: uncultured Enterobacteriaceae bacterium
Lineage: Bacteria; Pseudomonadati; Pseudomonadota; Gammaproteobacteria; Enterobacterales; Enterobacteriaceae
Description: bacterial SSU rRNA
Rfam family: Bacterial small subunit ribosomal RNA
Source: RNAcentral
UACGGAGGGUGCAAGCGUUAAUCGGAAUUACUGGGCGUAAAGCGCACGCAGGCGGUCUGUCAAGUCGGAUGUGAAAUCCCCGGGCUCAACCUGGGAACUGCAUUCGAAACUGGCAGGCUGGAGUCUUGUAGAGGGGGGUAGAAUUCCAGGUGUAGCGGUGAAAUGCGUAGAGAUCUGGAGGAAUACCGGUGGCGAAGGCGGCCCCCUGGACAAAGACUGACGCUCAGGUGCGAAAGCGUGGGGAGCAAACAGGAUUAGAUACCCUGGUAGUCCACGCUGUAAACGAUGUCGACUUGGAGGUUGUUCCCUUGAGGAGUGG